RNAcentral lists this non-coding RNA (29 nucleotides) under Rattus norvegicus (Norway rat). Lineage: Eukaryota; Metazoa; Chordata; Mammalia; Rodentia; Muridae. The record is from RNAcentral.
UACUAAGUAUGGUCAGAGGUCACCAUUGC